UCGUUAGUUGCCAUCAUUUGGUUGGGCACUCUAGUGAGACUGCCGGUGACAAACCGGAGGAAGGUGGGGAUGACGUCAAGUCCUCAUGGCCCUUAUGGGUAGGGCUUCACACGUCAUACAAUGGUCGGUACAGAGGGUUGCCAAGCCGCGAGGUGGAGCCAAUCCCUUAAAGCCGAUCGUAGUCCGGAUCGUAGUCUGCAACUCGACUACGUGAAGUCGGAAUCGCUAGUAAUCGCAGAUCAGCAUGCUGCGGUGAAUACGUUCCCGGGUCUU
RNAcentral lists this ribosomal RNA (273 nucleotides) under uncultured Thauera sp. Its description in RNAcentral is "partial 16S ribosomal RNA". It matches the Rfam family "Bacterial small subunit ribosomal RNA", at positions 1108 to 1382 of the family's 1533-position model. Lineage: Bacteria; Pseudomonadati; Pseudomonadota; Betaproteobacteria; Rhodocyclales; Zoogloeaceae. The record is from RNAcentral.